GUUGCCUCCGAGUACGAGAGGACCGAAGAGAUGCACCACUGGGGUUCGGUUGUCAUGCCAAGGGCAUUGCCCGUGAGAUAAGUGCGGAAGAGAUAACCGUUGAAAGCUUAAAGCGGGAAAACUUGCCUAGAGAAGAGUAUUUCCUGACCCUUUAAGGGUCCUAAAGGAACGUUUAAGAGUAAGACGUUGAUAGGUUGGGUGUGUAAGUGUAGCGAUACGUUGAGCUAACCAAUACUAAUGAACCGUGAGGCUUAACCU
Molecule: ribosomal RNA, 258 nt
Filed under: Providencia rettgeri Dmel1
Lineage: Bacteria; Pseudomonadati; Pseudomonadota; Gammaproteobacteria; Enterobacterales; Morganellaceae
Description: partial 23S ribosomal RNA
Rfam family: Bacterial large subunit ribosomal RNA
Source: RNAcentral